Molecule: ribosomal RNA, 373 nt
Filed under: uncultured organism
Description: partial 16S ribosomal RNA
Rfam family: Bacterial small subunit ribosomal RNA
Source: RNAcentral
GUAGGUGGCAAGCGUUGUCCGGAAUUACUGGGCGUAAAGCGCGCGCAGGCGGUUCUUUAAGUCUGAUGUGAAAGCCCACGGCUCAACCGUGGAGGGUCAUUGGAAACUGGAGAACUUGAGUACAGAAGAGGAAAGCGGAAUUCCACGUGUAGCGGUGAAAUGCGUAGAGAUGUGGAGGAACACCAGUGGCGAAGGCGGCUUUCUGGUCUGUAACUGACGCUGAGGCGCGAAAGCGUGGGGAGCAAACAGGAUUAGAUACCCUGGUAGUCCACGCCGUAAACGAUGAGUGCUAAGUGUUAGGGGGGUUUCCGCCCCCCUUAGUGCUGCGGCUAACGCAUUAAGCACUCCGCCUGGGGAUACGGCCGCAAGGCUG